AGAGUUUGAUCCUGGCUCAGGAUGAACGCUGGCGGUCUGCUUAACACAUGCAAGUCGAACGAAGUCUUCGGACUGAGUGGCGGACGGGUGAGUAACACGUGAGAACCUGCCUUAAGGUCGGGGAUAACAGUUGGAAACGACUGCUAAUACCGGAUGUGCCUACGGGUGAAAGAUUUAUUGCCUAAAGAUGGGCUCGCGUCUGAUUAGCUAGUUGGAGUGGUAAUGGCACACCAAGGCGACGAUCAGUAGCUGGUCUGAGAGGAUGAUCAGCCACACUGGGACUGAGACACGGCCCAGACUCCUACGGGAGGCAGCAGUGGGGAAUUUUCCGCAAUGGGCGAAAGCCUGACGGAGCAAGACCGCGUGAGGGAGGAAGGCUCUUGGGUUGUAAACCUCUUUUGUCAGGGAAGAACACAAUGACGGUACCUGACGAAUCAGCAUCGGCUAACUCCGUGCCAGCAGCCGCGGUAAUACGGAGGAUGCAAGCGUUAUCCGGAAUUAUUGGGCGUAAAGCGUCCGCAGGUGGUUGUACAAGUCUGCUGUCAAAGCGCGGAGCUUAACUCCGUAAAGGCGGUGGAAACUGUGCGACUAGAGUUCGGUAGGGGUCGCGGGAAUUCCCAGUGUAGCGGUGAAAUGCGUAGAUAUUGGGAAGAACACCGGUGGCGAAAGCGCGCGACUGGACCGAGACUGACACUCAUGGACGAAAGCUAGGGGAGCGAAAGGGAUUAGAUACCCCUGUAGUCCUAGCCGUAAACGAUGGGUACUAGGUGUUGCCCGUAUCGACCCGGGCAGUGCCGUAGCUAACGCGUUAAGUACCCCGCCUGGGGAGUACGCACGCAAGUGUGAAACUCAAAGGAAUUGACGGGGGCCCGCACAAGCGGUGGAGUAUGUGGUUUAAUUCGAUGCAACGCGAAGAACCUUACCAGGGCUUGACAUGUCGCGAAUCCUUGUGAAAGCAGGGAGUGCCUUCGGGAGCGCGAACACAGGUGGUGCAUGGCUGUCGUCAGCUCGUGUCGUGAGAUGUUGGGUUAAGUCCCGCAACGAGCGCAACCCUCGUCGUUAGUUGCCAGCAUUCAGUUGGGCACUCUGACGAGACUGCCGGUGACAAACCGGAGGAAGGUGGGGAUGACGUCAAGUCAGCAUGCCCCUUACGCCCUGGGCUACACACGUACUACAAUGCUUCGGACAAAGGGUUGCAAGUCGGCGACGACAAGCUAAUCUCGUAAACCGAGGCUCAGUUCAGAUUGCAGGCUGCAACUCGCCUGCAUGAAGGCGGAAUCGCUAGUAAUCGCAGGUCAGCAUACUGCGGUGAAUACGUUCCCGGGCCUUGUACACACCGCCCGUCACACCAUGGAAGUUGGCCACGCCCGAAGUCGUUACUCCAACCGUAAGGAGGAGGACGCCGAAGGCAGGGCUGAUGACUGGGGUGAAGUCGUAACAAGGUAGCCGUACCGGAAGGUGUGGCUGGAUCACCUCCUUUUUAGGGAGACCUGCUUCCUCGAGACUGAACCCAUUGAUAUUAAGUCCGAGAGAAGGCAUCCCAAGGUCGAGCGAAGUUUAGACUGCUGGCUUUCAAACUAACUUGGUUCAUUCUUCAGUGGCGGAACCCGAGCUUACAGCUUCGGUCCUGCCCACUGAAUUUUUCCAAUCCACCUGCCAUUGUGAUAAGGGUAGACGUUGGGUUGUUGAGACAAUGUCCUCAACUUAAACAACUUCAGCAACUCAUUUAGUGAUUCAUCUGAUAAACUAGAGAGCCUGCUGGAUCUUUGUCCAGUGAAGAACCUUGAAAACUGCAUAGUUAACUUGUCAGGUAGUUAGUGAAGACUGAGCAAUGCCUCAGUUGAAACUAAUCACAGACACCAAUGUAAGAAAUUGUGGUCAAGCUACAAAGGGCUUACGGUGGAUACCUAGGCACACAGAGGCGAAGA
Molecule: ribosomal RNA, 1928 nt
Filed under: Chroakolemma pellucida 716
Lineage: Bacteria; Bacillati; Cyanobacteriota; Cyanophyceae; Leptolyngbyales; Leptolyngbyaceae
Description: bacterial SSU rRNA
Rfam family: Bacterial small subunit ribosomal RNA (bases 1-1480)
Source: RNAcentral